Molecule: ribosomal RNA, 313 nt
Filed under: uncultured bacterium
Lineage: Bacteria
Description: bacterial SSU rRNA
Rfam family: Bacterial small subunit ribosomal RNA
Source: RNAcentral
GGACGAACGCUGGCGGCGCGCCGUAACACAUGCAAGUCGAACGAGAGAGAGGAAGCUUGCUUCCUUAAUCGAGUGGCGAACGGGUGAGUAACGCGUGAGGAACCUGCCUCAAAGAGGGGGACAACAGUUGGAAACGACUGCUAAUACCGCAUAAGCCCACAGCUCGGCAUUGAGCAGAGGGAAAAGGAGUGAUCCGCUUUGAGAUGGCCUCGCGUCCGAUUAGCUGGUUGGUGAGGUAACGGCCCACCAAGGCAACGAUCGGUAGCCGGACUGAGAGGUUGAACGGCCACAUUGGGACUGAGACACGGCCCAG